Molecule: long non-coding RNA, 215 nt
Filed under: Salvia miltiorrhiza (redroot sage)
Lineage: Eukaryota; Viridiplantae; Streptophyta; Magnoliopsida; Lamiales; Lamiaceae
Description: long non-coding RNA (SMIL_LNC003097)
Source: RNAcentral
CAAAUUACUAAUUCACCAUAGUGAUUUACACAGGAAAUUAAAUAUCUAAAUGCACUUUUCAAUUAUAUGAGAAUUAAAGCUAUAACUAUAUAUAAUCAGAGAAAGUUCGAUCAAAUCAUAGAUCAUGAUGAGUCAACCUGUCUCAUGGAAGUCGUUUUCCUUUUUCAAGAAAAGGGGCAUGAUAUAUGUAUAGGUGGGCGGGGACUAAUUAAAUG